This 274-nucleotide ribosomal RNA is filed under the name uncultured bacterium. RNAcentral describes it as "partial 16S ribosomal RNA". It matches the Rfam family "Bacterial small subunit ribosomal RNA", at positions 523 to 796 of the family's 1533-position model. The record is from RNAcentral.
AUACGGAGGGAGCUAGCGUUGUUCGGAAUUACUGGGCGUAAAGCGCACGUAGGCGGAUUGGUCAGUUGGAGGUGAAAUCCCAGGGCUCAACCCUGGAACUGCCUUCAAUACUGCCAGUCUAGAGAUCGUAAGAGGUGAGUGGAAUUCCUAGUGUAGAGGUGAAAUUCGUAGAUAUUAGGAGGAACACCAGUGGCGAAGGCGGCUCACUGGUCCGAUACUGACGCUGAGGUGCGAAAGCGUGGGGAGCAAACAGAAUUAGAAACCCCGGUAGUCC